CUUCCUUCCCUUCCAUCGCGCAGCCAUCGUGCAAACGUGGAAGCCUCUGUCGCGCAGGUUCCCCACUUCUCCUCCUCUUCCUCAUUCAGAUACAGGUAUACAGCGCCCCACCCCCAAAACAGAAACCCUAGGUUACUCCCCCACUGCCGCAAGGGUCUCACUCAACGCCGCCGUUGCGCUCAGACACCAUCGUGUCUUCGUCCGGUCGUCUGCGGCUCCACGCUUCUUCCUCAUUCAACAAUUGAGUUGGUCCAAUGGAGGAUAGCCAGGAAAUUGAGGAGUAGGUACAGGAAGAAGUGAUUUCAGACAAUGGAACU
Molecule: non-coding RNA, 317 nt
Organism: Arachis ipaensis
Lineage: Eukaryota; Viridiplantae; Streptophyta; Magnoliopsida; Fabales; Fabaceae
Source: RefSeq, a predicted model, not a curated record